CAGUCGCCGCGGGAAUACGUAGGUGGCAAGCGUUGUCCGGAAUUAUUGGGCGUAAAGGGCUCGCAGGCGGUUUCUUAAGUCUGAUGUGAAAGCCCACGGCUCAACCGUGGAGGGUCAUUGGAAACUGGGAGACUUGAGUGCAGAAGAGGAGAGCGGAAUUCCAUGUGUAGCGGUGAAAUGCGUAGAUAUAUGGAGGAACACCAAUGGCGAAGGCGGCUCUCUGGUCUGUAACUGACGCUGAGGCUCGAAAGCGUGGGGAGCAAACAGGAUUAGAUACCCCCGUAGUCCCUGUCUCUUAUAC
RNAcentral lists this ribosomal RNA (301 nucleotides) under uncultured bacterium. Its description in RNAcentral is "partial 16S ribosomal RNA". It matches the Rfam family "Bacterial small subunit ribosomal RNA", at positions 509 to 807 of the family's 1533-position model. The record is from RNAcentral.